RNAcentral lists this microRNA (23 nucleotides) under Populus tomentosa. Its description in RNAcentral is "Pto-N24". The record is from RNAcentral. Lineage: Eukaryota; Viridiplantae; Streptophyta; Magnoliopsida; Malpighiales; Salicaceae.
AAAUUGACUGUAGAGAGAGGUGU